CAGCAGCCGCGGUAAUACGGAGGGCGCGAGCGUUACCCGGAUUUACUGGGCGUAAAGCGUGCGUAGGCGGUUUGUUAAGUCUGUUGUGAAAUCCCCGGGCUCAACCUGGGAAUGGCAAUGGAUACUGGCAAGCUAGAGUGUGUCAGAGGAUGGUGGAACUCCCGGUGUAGCGGUGAAAUGCGUAGAGAUCGGGAGGAACAUCAGUGGCGAAGGCGGCCAUCUGGGACAACACUGACGCUGAGGCACGAAAGCGUGGGGAGCAAACAGGAUUAGAUACCCCGGUAGUCCCUGUCUCUUAUAC
RNAcentral lists this ribosomal RNA (301 nucleotides) under uncultured bacterium. Its description in RNAcentral is "partial 16S ribosomal RNA". It matches the Rfam family "Bacterial small subunit ribosomal RNA", at positions 509 to 807 of the family's 1533-position model. The record is from RNAcentral.